This 253-nucleotide ribosomal RNA is filed under the name uncultured bacterium. Its description in RNAcentral is "partial 16S ribosomal RNA". The record is from RNAcentral.
CUGCUGCCUCCCGUAGGAGUCUGGUUCGUGUCUCAGUACCAGUGUGGGGGACCUUCCUCUCAGAACCCCUACGCAUCGUCGUCUUGGUGGUCCGUUACACCGCCAACUAACUAAUGCGACGCAUGCCCAUCCGCCACCGGAAUCAACCUUUGGCACCAACAGGAUGUCCCGUCGAUGCAUUAUGCCGUAUUAGACGGAAUUUCUCCCGAUUAUCCGGCUGUGGCAGGCAGGUUGCAUACGUGUUACUCACCCG